RNAcentral lists this transfer RNA (75 nucleotides) under Alphaproteobacteria bacterium. RNAcentral's name for it is "tRNA-Glu". It matches the Rfam family "tRNA". From Rfam's summary of the family: Transfer RNA (tRNA) molecules are approximately 80 nucleotides in length. Their secondary structure includes four short double-helical elements and three loops (D, anti-codon, and T loops). Further hydrogen bonds mediate the characteristic L-shaped molecular structure. tRNAs have two regions of fundamental functional importance: the anti-codon, which is responsible for specific mRNA codon recognition, and the 3' end, to which the tRNAs corresponding amino acid is attached (by aminoacyl-tRNA synthetases). tRNAs cope with the degeneracy of the genetic code in two manners: having more than one tRNA (with a specific anti-codon) for a particular amino acid; and 'wobble' base-pairing, i.e. permitting non-standard base-pairing at the 3rd anti-codon position. The record is from RNAcentral. Lineage: Bacteria; Pseudomonadati; Pseudomonadota; Alphaproteobacteria.
GUCUCCUUCGUCUAGCGGUUAGGACAUCGCCCUCUCACGGCGGUAACAUGGGUUCAAUUCCCGUAGGAGACGCCA